GCAGUAGUGAGCAGACGCUGCAGCUGGUGCCCAGGCUUUAAGAAGGUUGCGAGUUUGACAGAAAGAAGCUCCUAGGUUCUCUGUAAUUCUGACUGUUCUGAAACCUCACAGAGAUCCACCUGCUUCUGCCUCCCAAAGGCUGGGAUUAAAGGCUUGCACCACUAUGCCUUACUCAAGCAACUUGCCAUCAAUAUCAAGAGUUACAGAUCGCUAAACACAAGCUGACCCUACGGCACUUUCUUCCUCAAGAAUAAAAUUUGUUGCUGGGCAGUGGUGGCGCAUGCCUGUAAUCCCAGCACUUGGGAGGCAGAGGCAGGCAGAUUUCUGAGUUCGAGGCCAUCCUGGUCUACAGAGUGAGUUCCAGGACAGCCAGGGCUACACGGAGAAACCCUGUCUCGGAAAAAAACCAAA
Apodemus sylvaticus (European woodmouse) is the source of this 411-nucleotide long non-coding RNA. RefSeq lists it as uncharacterized. The transcript is spliced from 3 exons. The record is from RefSeq and is a predicted model, not a curated record. NCBI's taxonomy places the organism in Eukaryota, Metazoa, Chordata, Mammalia, Rodentia, Muridae.